This 428-nucleotide ribosomal RNA is filed under the name uncultured bacterium. Its description in RNAcentral is "bacterial SSU rRNA". It matches the Rfam family "Bacterial small subunit ribosomal RNA", at positions 340 to 761 of the family's 1533-position model. The record is from RNAcentral.
UACGGAAGGCAGCAGUGGGGAAUAUUGCACAAUGGGCGCAAGCCUGAUGCAGCCAUGCCGCGUGUAUGAAGAAGGCCUUCGGGUUGUAAAGUACUUUCAGUCGUGAGGAAGGUGUUAAGGUUAAUAACCUUAGCAAUUGACGUUAGCGACAGAAGAAGCACCGGCUAACUCCGUGCCAGCAGCCGCGGUAAUACGGAGGGUGCGAGCGUUAAUCGGAAUUACUGGGCGUAAAGGGCACGCAGGCGGUUAAUUAAGUUGGAUGUGAAAUCCCCGGGCUUAACCUGGGAAUGGCAUUCAAGACUGGUUAGCUAGAGUCUUGUAGAGGGGGUUAGAAUUCCAUGUGUAGCGGUGAAAUGCGUAGAGAUGUGGAGGAAUACCGGUGGCGAAGGCGGCCCCUGGACAAAGACUGACGCUCAUGUGCGAAAGCG